AAAAUUUUCAACAACGGAUCUCUUGGUUCCAGCAUCGAUGAAGAACGCAGCGAAAUGCGAUAAGUAAUGUGAAUUGCAGAAUUCAGUGAAUCAUCGAAUCUUUGAACGCACAUUGCGCCCCUCGGUAUUCCGGGGGGCAUGCCUGUUCGAGCGUCAUU
Molecule: ribosomal RNA, 158 nt
Filed under: Myelochroa aurulenta
Lineage: Eukaryota; Fungi; Ascomycota; Lecanoromycetes; Lecanorales; Parmeliaceae
Description: 5.8S ribosomal RNA
Rfam family: 5.8S ribosomal RNA
About the family: 5.8S ribosomal RNA (5.8S rRNA) is a component of the large subunit of the eukaryotic ribosome.
Source: RNAcentral